CCUACGGGAGACUGCAGUGGGGAAUAUUGCACAAUGGGCGCAAGCCUGAUGCAGCCAUGCCGCGUGUGUGAAGAAGGCCUUCGGGUUGUAAAGCACUUUCAGCGGGGAGGAAGGCGGUGAGGUUAAUAACCUCAUCGAUUGACGUUACCCGCGGAAGAAGCACCGGCUAACUCCGUGCCAGCAGCCGCGGUAAUACGGAGGGUGCAAGCGUUAAUCGGAAUUACUGGGCGUAAAGCGCACGCAGGCGGUCUGUCAAGUCGGAUGUGAAAUCCCCGGGCUCAACCUGGGAACUGCAUUCGAAACUGGCAGGCUAGAGUCUUGUAGAGGGGGGUAGAAUUCCAGGUGUAGCGGUGAAAUGCGUAGAGAUCUGGAGGAAUACCGGUGGCGAAGGCGGCCCCCUGGACAAAGACUGACGCUCAGGUGCGAAAGCGUGGGGAGCAAACAGGAUUAGAUACCCGUGUAGUC
Molecule: ribosomal RNA, 465 nt
Filed under: uncultured Klebsiella sp.
Lineage: Bacteria; Pseudomonadati; Pseudomonadota; Gammaproteobacteria; Enterobacterales; Enterobacteriaceae
Description: bacterial SSU rRNA
Rfam family: Bacterial small subunit ribosomal RNA
Source: RNAcentral